GACGAACGCUGGCGGCGUGCUUAACACAUGCAAGUCGAAGGGCAAGGCCCUGCUUGCCGGGUAAACGAGUGCGGAACACGUGAGUAACCCGUGGGGGAUCUGCGCUGUACCCCGGGAUAAGCCUGGGUAACUGGGCCUAAUACCGGCGAGGAGACACGCUUAGAGAGAGGGUGGGAGAGCUUUUUCGGUGGAGGAUGAGCUCGCGGCCUAUCAGCUUGUGGGUGGGGUAAGGGCCUACCACGGCGGCGACGGGUAGCCGGCCUGAGAGCAUGGACGGCCAGAGUGGGACUGGGAUACGGCGCAGACUACUACGGGGGGCAGCUGUGGGGAAUGUUGCACAAUGGGCGAAAGCCUGAUGCAGCGACGCCGGGUGGGGGAUGACGGCCUUCGGUGUGGAUCCGCCUGACGCUAGGGACGAAGCUUGUGUGACGGUACCGAGAGAAGAAGCACCGGCUAACUAUGUG
RNAcentral lists this ribosomal RNA (464 nucleotides) under uncultured bacterium. Its description in RNAcentral is "partial 16S ribosomal RNA". It matches the Rfam family "Bacterial small subunit ribosomal RNA", at positions 28 to 507 of the family's 1533-position model. The record is from RNAcentral.